AGGGCCUCUACCAAGCUCUGGUAGACUUAGGAACCACAGUCGGCUAGGCACCACUGUCACCUGUGGAUGGUAAAGGAAUGCCGGAUGAAGCCGGAACAUCCAGUGGUGCACGCCAGCGCAGGAGUACAGAAGAAGAGGGCAGGGAACAUGAGGAGAUAUUGUGGCCUUCGGAGUGGUGGUGUGGUGAUGCAGGAAGGAGGAUAGGAGGUCGCAUUAACCUGGCUGUCAUUGAUCCGAACCCUGCUGAACUUUUGCUGAGUAAAUACUUUCACUGAAGCCAUUUCAGGUGCAAAUGCAAAUGAGUGGCGCAGAGUGAUGGUCGAGGAGAUUGCUGCAUUAGCAGCUAACGGCGUUUGUGCGCCAUGUGCACAGCCUCAUGAUAUAAUAUGCUACUGUACCGGUGGGUGUACAAAUUCAAAACACCGGAAAAUGACAAUGUCAAGCGCUCUUUUGCAUGGCUAGUUGCAAAGGUGUACGAGAAGUACGAGAUCUUGGAGAAGUGCAGGUGUUUUCGGGCAUGGAAAUUAUGAGGAUGAAGCCGGGCGAAUUAAUGUUGUCGCUAUAUUGAGCAGCUAUUGGAGCGUCACCAGAUGGUGGACGCCAAGCCGCGGUCUACCCCUUUGCCUCCGGGUAUUAGGUGCACACCUACGGGGGAUAAAGAAGAGCUGCUGGGUAAUCCCACGGAGUAUAGGGCUUUAGUGGGAGGGUUGAACUACAUAGCGACGAACACACGGCCUGACAUUCCUUAUGCAUGGAGUGUUUCGUCCCGGCUUAUGGCCACACCUACGAAGAGUGCCAUGAACUUGGCAACUGGUGUUCUACGUUACCUGGCGGGUACUCGCGAACUAGGAUUGCGUUUUGGAGAUGUUGGCGGUGUUGCAAUGUCCGGGUACAGCGAUUCGGACUGGGCAGGAGACCCAGUUACGCGGCGUUCUACGUCGGAUUACGUAUUCACUCUUAAUGGGGCUGCGAUUAGCUGGAGCAGCCAACUUCAACGUACUGUGGCGGCUUCGUCGGUGGAGGCCGAGUACCAAGCUACAGCGGCAGCUGUUCGUCAAGCUUUGUGGCUUCGCAAGCUGAUGGUCGAUUUGGGCUUGCCUGAGAGCACGGUGAAAAUCCAGAUAGACUCCCAGGGUGCGCUUAGCUUGGGAAAUAAUCCGAUUACGUCUGCUCGGUCGAAACACAUCGACGUGCAGCACCACAUAGUGCGUGAGAGGGUGAAUAGUGGGGAGGUGCAGUUGGAGUACUGCCCUACAGAGUGGAUGGUAGCGGAUGCGCUCAUGAAGGCACUGGGAGGAGUGAAGUUCAAACGGUGCAGAGAAGUGUUGUGUGAAGUGCCCAUUGGCGGAGCAAAUGUGCUACUGCGAGUUGGGAUAUGUCCCGAGGGGGCGUGCUGAAGGGCGGUCCUAUUCCAACGUAGACAGGUGGUAGUUAGGCAAUGAAUCCGCCGCGAUAGGCGUUGCCUCGGCCGUGCCUCGACCUUGCCUCGGCCGUGCCUCGACCUUGCCUCGGCCGUGCCUCGACCUUGCCUCGGCCGUGCCUCGACCUUGCCUCGGCCGUGCCUCGACCUUGCCGAGUUGCAGAGAGAGCCGCAGCCUAACGUGCAGGGAAGGAGUGGAGGUGGUCUUGGCACCCACACGUGGCAGGUGGGGUAGCAUGCCUCAACAGACAGGCGGGGGCGGCAGUGCAGUGAUGCCGUGUAUUUUGUUUGCUGCAAGAUAAGAACCACUAUCAAAUGUCUGACUACGAAGCGGCUAGUAUUGGUGUACCUGAGUCAGGGCCUCUGCCAAGCUCUGGUAGACUCAGGAACCACAGUCGGCUAGGCACCACUGUCACCUGUGGAUGGUAAAGGAAUGCCGGAUGAAGCCGGAACAUCCAGUGGUGCACGCCAGCGCAGGAGUACAGAAGAAGAGGGCAGGGAACAUGAGGAGAUAUUGUGGCCUUCGGAGUGGUGGUGUGGUGAUGCAGGAAGGAGGAUAGGAGGUCGCAUUAACCUGGCUGUCAUUGAUCCGAACCCUGCUGAACUUUUG
This 2030-nucleotide long non-coding RNA is filed under the name Volvox carteri. Its description in RNAcentral is "long non-coding RNA (VCAR_LNC004044)". The record is from RNAcentral. Lineage: Eukaryota; Viridiplantae; Chlorophyta; Chlorophyceae; Chlamydomonadales; Volvocaceae.